GACGAACGCUGGCGGCGUGCCUAAUACAUGCAAGUAGAACGCUGAAGAGAGGAGCUUGCUCUUCUUGGAUGAGUUGCGAACGGGUGAGUAACGCGUAGGUAACCUGCCUUGUAGCGGGGGAUAACUAUUGGAAACGAUAGCUAAUACCGCAUAACAAUGGAUGACACAUGUCAUUUAUUUGAAAGGGGCAAUUGCUCCACUACAAGAUGGACCUGCGUUGUAUUAGCUAGUAGGUGAGGUAACGGCUCACCUAGGCGACGAUACAUAGCCGACCUGAGAGGGUGAUCGGCCACACUGGGACUGAGACACGGCCCAGACUCCUACGGGAGGCAGCAGUAGGGAAUCUUCGGCAAUGGGGGGCAACCCGUGACCGAGCAACGCCGCGUGAGUGAAGAAGGUUUCGGAUCGUAAAGCUCUGUUGUAAGUCAAGAACGAGUGUGAGAGUGGAAA
This 450-nucleotide ribosomal RNA is filed under the name uncultured bacterium. RNAcentral describes it as "bacterial SSU rRNA". It matches the Rfam family "Bacterial small subunit ribosomal RNA", at positions 28 to 464 of the family's 1533-position model. The record is from RNAcentral.